RNAcentral lists this ribosomal RNA (253 nucleotides) under uncultured bacterium. RNAcentral's name for it is "partial 16S ribosomal RNA". It matches the Rfam family "Bacterial small subunit ribosomal RNA", at positions 524 to 776 of the family's 1533-position model. The record is from RNAcentral.
GACGAAGGAUGCAAGCGUUAUCCGGAUUCAUUGGGUUUAAAGGGAGCGUAGGUGGCCUUAUAAGUCAGUGGUGAAAUCUCUCGGCUUAACUGAGAAAUUGCCAUUGAUACUGUAGGGCUUGAGUAUAGUUGCCGUUGGCGGAAUAUGACAUGUAGUGGUGAAAUACAUAGAGAUGUCAUAGAACACCGAUUGCGAAGGCAGCUAACGAAACUAUAACUGACACUGAGGCUCGAAAGUGCGGGGAUCAAACAGG